This 908-nucleotide ribosomal RNA is filed under the name uncultured delta proteobacterium. RNAcentral describes it as "bacterial SSU rRNA". It matches the Rfam family "Bacterial small subunit ribosomal RNA", at positions 32 to 916 of the family's 1533-position model. Lineage: Bacteria; Deltaproteobacteria. The record is from RNAcentral.
GACAAUUGCGGGGGCUACCAUGCAGUCGCACGAGAACGUUUCAGCUUGCUGAGAUUAGUAAAGUGGCGCACGGGUGAGUAACGCGUGGGUAAUCUACCUCCGAAUUGGGGAUAACACUGCGAAAGCGGUGCUAAUACCGAAUGAUAUCCCCGAGACUCUGGUCUUGGGGAUCAAAGGUGGCCUCUACAUGUAAGCUACUGUUUGGGGAUGAGCCCGCGUACCAUUAGCUUGUUGGUAGGGUAACGGCCUACCAAGGCUGCGAUGGUUAGCUGGUCUGAGAGGAUGAUCAGCCACACUGGAACUGACACACGGUCCAGACUCCUACGGGAGGCAGCAGUGAGGAAUUUUGCGCAAUGGGGGAAACCCUGACGCAGCAACGCCGCGUGAGUGAUGAAGGCUUUCGGGUCGUAAAGCUCUGUCAAGUGGGAAGAACCUGCUUCGUGCCAAUAUCACGAGGCACUGACGGUACCACUGAAGGAAGCACCGGCUAACUCCGUGCCAGCAGCCGCGGUAAUACGGGGGGUGCUAGCGUUAUUCGGAAUCAUUGGGCGUAAAGGGCGCGUAGGCGGUCGCUUAAGUCAGAUGUGAAAGCCCUCGGCUUAACCGAGGAAGUGCAUUUGAUACUAAGCGACUUGAGUAUGGGAGAGGGAAGCGGAAUUCCUGGUGUAGCGGUGAAAUGCGUAGAUAUCAGGAGGAACACCGGUGGCGAAGGCGGCUUCCUGGACCAAUACUGACGCUGAGGCGCGAAGGCGUGGGGAGCAAACAGGAUUAGAUACCCUGGUAGUCCACGCAGUAAACGGUGAACACUAUGUGUAGCGGGUAUUGACCCCUGCUGUGCCGCAGCUAACGCAUUAAGUGUUCCGCCUGGGAAGUACGGCCGCAAGGUUAAAACUCAAAGGAAUUGACGG